Long non-coding RNA from Ictalurus punctatus (channel catfish), 357 nucleotides. The record is from Ensembl. Lineage: Eukaryota; Metazoa; Chordata; Actinopteri; Siluriformes; Ictaluridae.
CGUUAAUGAACAUGUGAGAUUGUCCACUCAACAGGGCUCCACUGAUCCAGACUGGAGAAACCAGGGGAAAUUCAGUCUUCCUAAAUCCACGGCUGUGUUCCAAAUCACACACUAUUGGCCCUAACCCUACACUACACCACAUACUGGAACUGGGGAUUAACCCUUUAUACGAGUCUGUGAUCAUGUGACAUGGAUUAUAAGUGUAUUAUACUACUACAUUAUGAAAUGGAUAAAAAAAAAAUUUAAUAUCACUUUAUAAACCUCUAUAAAGCAUAUUGUGAUUUUAUAUAUAUAUAUAUAGUAUAUUGCACAUUUUCUGCACACUUGGGUUGUGAGUAAUAAUGAGUAUUAACAGAG